Molecule: ribosomal RNA, 481 nt
Filed under: uncultured bacterium
Lineage: Bacteria
Description: bacterial SSU rRNA
Rfam family: Bacterial small subunit ribosomal RNA
Source: RNAcentral
AAAUGAAUAGACGGGGGAGCGCACAACCGGUGGAGCAUGUGGUUUAAUUCGAUACAAAGCGAAAAACCUUACCCAGAUUUGACAUGUACCUGCACGGUCUAGGAAACUAGACUUUCUUCGAGAGUGGUACACAGGUGAUGCAUGGCUGUCGUCAGCUCGUGUCGUGAGACGUCCACUUAAGUGUGGUAACGAGCGCAACCCUUGUCGUAUGUUACACGUAUCAUACGAGACUGCCCGUGCAGUGCACGGGAGGAAGGAGAGGACGAUGUCAAGUCAGCAUGUCCCUUACAUCUGGGGCUACACACAUCCUACAAUGGAACUGACAACGGGUAGCGACGGGGUAACCCUGAGCUAAUCCUCUAAACAGUUUCUCAGUUCGGAUUGAAGGCUGAAAUUCGCCUUCAUGAAGUCGGAAUCGGUAGUAAUCGCAAAUCAGCAGGUUGCGGUGAAUACGUUCUCGCUCCUUGUACACACCGCCCGU